Molecule: ribosomal RNA, 480 nt
Filed under: uncultured bacterium
Lineage: Bacteria
Description: bacterial SSU rRNA
Rfam family: Bacterial small subunit ribosomal RNA
Source: RNAcentral
CUACGUGCCAGCAGCCGCGGUAAUACGGAAGGUCAGGCGUUAUCCGGAUUUAUUGGGUUUAAAGGGAGCGUAGGCCGGAGAUUAAGUGUGUUGUGAAAUGUAGACGCUCAACGUCUGACUUGCAGCGCAUACUGGUUUCCUUGAGUACGCACAACGUUGGCGGAAUUCGUCGUGUAGCGGUGAAAUGCUUAGAUAUGACGAAGAACUCCGAUUGCGAAGGCAGCUGACGGGAGCGCAACUGACGCUUAAGCUCGAAGGUGCGGGUAUCAAACAGGAUUAGAUACCCUGGUAGUCCGCACAGUAAACGAUGGAUGCCCGCUGUUGGUACCUGGUAUCAGCGGCUAAGCGAAAGCAUUAAGCAUCCCACCUGGGGAGUACGCCGGCAACGGUGAAACUCAAAGGAAUUGACGGGGGCCCGCACAAGCGGAGGAACAUGUGGUUUAAUUCGAUGAUACGCGAGGAACCUUACCCGGGCUUGAA